AGAGUUGAUAUGGCUCAGGAUGAACGCUGGCGGCGUGCUUAAUACAUGCAAGUCGAACGGAGUUGUGAUGUGAGCGAGAGAAAGCUUGCUUUAAUCAAUCUUUCAUAACUUAGUGGCGGACGGGUGAGUAACGCGUGGGUAACCUGCCCUGUACAGGGGGAUAACGGCUGGAAACGGCCGCUAAAACCGCAUAACGUCGGAAUACCGCAUGAUGUUCCGGCCAAAUAUUUAUAGGUACAGGAUGGGCCCGCGUCUGAUUAGCUAGAUGGUGAGGUAACGGCCCACCAUGGCGACGAUCAGUAGCCGUACUGAGAGGUAGAACGGCCACAUUGGGACUGAGACACGGCCCAAACUCCUACGGGAGGCAGCAGUAGGGAAUAUUGGUCAAUGGGGGAAACCCUGAACCAGCGAACCGCCGCGUGAGUGAAGAAGUAUUUUGGUAUGUAAAGCUCUAUCAGCAGGGACGAUGAUGACGGUACCUGACUAAGAAGCCCCGGCUAACUACGUGCCAGCAGCAGC
This 519-nucleotide ribosomal RNA is filed under the name uncultured bacterium. Its description in RNAcentral is "bacterial SSU rRNA". It matches the Rfam family "Bacterial small subunit ribosomal RNA", at positions 8 to 518 of the family's 1533-position model. The record is from RNAcentral.